UUUAGAAGGAAGAACUGUUUCAGUCUACUUUGAUUUCAAGUUACCAUGGUUUAUCAAUGAUUCUAAAGGUCCUCAAAUGUGUUGUCCGGCAGAUGCUCCUCUAGCUAUGAAGGACAAGUUGGCUCUUAAAAAAACAUGGCUGACAAAGGAUUCAGGAACAGUAACUGGAUUCCAAAGAGGAUGAUGGAAAAAAGAAGAAGAAAAGAAAACUUUUACAUACCACUGGAUCCCCUGAGGGAGGAAAAACCCAAAACCAAAAUAAAGAAAGAGCUAAGAAGAAAUCACUGGAGAUUGAUUUUCCAAGUGGAAAAGGGGAGGAUGGUGUUUUGAAGCAUAUCCAUCCAACCAUCCAUCUAUCCAUCUGGCUGUGUGACUUAUAUUCUUGAUCUUCUGAUUUGCCUGUUGCUAAUCAACUGUCUGCUCAGCUGCUGCCCAUAUUUCCUGCUAUCUGAAUACAUUUUUGCAGCAUCCUUUUAGAGGAACAGCCUUACGAUUUGAUGUCUUAUGAAGCCACUCUUUUGUUUGCAGAGAAAGGAAUCAGUCAGUCGCGGAGAAUGAAUGCCAUGACCCACCAACCACCAUACUUAUUAGCAGACCCCCAUGGAAACAAAAAGAAUGGCAUGGAAAGGGAGUCUGUCCAGGUUGGUGUGCAGUGGAGAUAGAUGGUGGCCUGUAGAAAUGUAAUUGCCUGUCUUCCACAAGUGAAGAUGAAAAAGAGCUGCUUGUUACAGAUGGUUAUUGAUCAUCAGAAUUGCUGAGAUGACAAUGACAAAUCUUUCUAGUGACAAGCUCUGAUCAGUCUCAUGGUUAUUUUGUUGGACCUGCAUGUUUCCAUUUCUCUCAGAGCAAAGACAGUGGAAAGUAGGUAUGAUCAAUGUUUCUGUAAUCCAUUUCAACCUGGACCUGCAACAUAUCAGAGGGAUGUUCUAAUAAAUGUAUGGCCUUCCA
Long non-coding RNA from Varanus komodoensis (Komodo dragon), 948 nucleotides. RefSeq lists it as uncharacterized. The record is from RefSeq and is a predicted model, not a curated record. The transcript is spliced from 3 exons. NCBI's taxonomy places the organism in Eukaryota, Metazoa, Chordata, Lepidosauria, Squamata, Varanidae.